Molecule: unclassified non-coding RNA, 240 nt
Filed under: soil metagenome
Description: partial contains 5.8S ribosomal RNA, internal transcribed spacer 2, and large subunit ribosomal RNA
Source: RNAcentral
AACUGAUACUACCUGCGGGAACCUGCGGAGGGAUCGUUACUGAAGUGAUUUGGGGAUGUUGCUGGCCCUCUCUCAAGGGGGGGCACUGUGCACUCCUCGAAACAAUUCACAAUUUCCAUCACACCCCUUGUGCACACCUUGUAGGCACCCAAACCCACCUCCGGGUGGUGGGGUCCUAUGUAUUCCUUCAUCUCACACUCUGUUGAAUGGUGCCAUGGGACGCAUCUAAAGGAUUAUUUG